Molecule: long non-coding RNA, 1091 nt
Organism: Vespula pensylvanica (western yellowjacket)
Lineage: Eukaryota; Metazoa; Arthropoda; Insecta; Hymenoptera; Vespidae
Exons: 2
Source: RefSeq, a predicted model, not a curated record
UUAAGCACUUUAUUAGAAUACACUAACGUAAAGAUUAUUUUUAUAUGAUUUCGUUAUUAUUCCGUUGAGCUGAUGUUUCGUUUAAUUCUCUCAGAAGACUCUUUAAGUUAUUUACUUUCAAAGAACCGACUUCAAAGAAAACGAUGGCUUUGCGAAUUUAGAUCAAAACAUCACGCAUUACGAUGACUUUUAAGUCAACAGAAAAUUCGAUUAAGUCUUUGAUUCUCAUUCGUAAAAGAAUGAUUACGUCGAAAUAUUUUGAUAAAUCGUUUUGAAAAUUAUUACGAUUAAUAUUCAACGUGAAUCGUUUAGUAACGAUCGGAAGCUGAUAUAACGGAUUCAAAAAAGAAUAUAUAAGUGCUCCAUCGGAACAUCUUUUACUUUUAUCAUUGGAAUUCAUCAGCGAUACUUGCCCAAGCGAUCCAAAAUACGCAUUUGAAGCUCUCCUCCUUAUAUCCCAUUGUUCGUUUUGCGUCGUCGGAUCUACUUACGAUUCGAAACACGUCUUGAAUAUACGAUAAAAUUUUCCCUUAGAUUUGGAUUCAUCUCAAACCUUACAACAGACGGCCCAGAACGAUCUUCUUUGUGUUGCUUUCUACAUACACGUUCGCACACAAGCAUGUAUACGCAUAUACCUAUACGGUUAUCUUUACCAGAUAUGUAAACACAUAGCUAUGCAUACGUUUGCGUAUGGACAGAUAUGGACCAUCGUACGUAAUACUAUACAUUUAUAUACGUAUGAGUGUCAUGGACGACACAUAUGAUAGUACUAGACAUAUACAGGACACACUGAACGAAAGAUAGGAACGAGAGUGUGCACGGAUGCAACGAUUGAAAGCAGCGAGUUCUUGCAAGCUUUACAGGAAUACAGUCUUCUUACAUUACCAUUAGACGACGACCGUACUUGCGAUUAUGAAGAUAUCGUUGAGACUCCAAGCAAAUGGGUCGCUUUUGUUGAUGCACGUGAUCCUCGUAUCAUUUUCAUCGCGAAAUAUACUCUAAUGUUAAUAUACCCAACGAGUAUAUCAGUUGUAUAUGCAAUUUAAUGCUUUAUGUAUGCACGAUGUUUAUUAAAUGAGAUUAAAGUUUAA